RNAcentral lists this long non-coding RNA (1764 nucleotides) under Chrysolophus pictus (golden pheasant). Its description in RNAcentral is "lncRNA (ENSCPIG00010010529.1)". The record is from RNAcentral. Lineage: Eukaryota; Metazoa; Chordata; Aves; Galliformes; Phasianidae.
AUGAACAGAAAACUUCAGGCCAUGACCAGAUACUUGGAGACGCUCAUCUUGGACAUGCCUGAGGGCAGCGAUGGUUACACCACCUCGGUCACAGAGAGUGAAAACCUCUGCACUUCAAGGACAUCGCUGUACCCUUUGAGCACCAGUUGCGGGGAAAUGAAGGCACCUUGCUCACACCAAAGAGCCCAGAAGAACUUGGAAAGCUCCAUCCCAGAAAGCAAAGUGGAGCAGGGACUGGGCCUCGGUGAUCAGAAAAGGCCUGGUGUGCUGGUGGAUCCCUUGGUGCGGGACCCAGCCUUGGUGGAUGAGGCUACGGGAAGUCAUCCGGAGCAUCCAAACAUAAUGCAGGCACCACAGCACCUGCAGAGGACUUUCUCAGACCCUGUACUGGGGAAGAAAGACUCCCACCUUCCCCAUCCACUGAGGCAAUCAAGAAGGUCCACUCACUCCCCCUUCCAGUGCAGGCACGGGCAGACUCAGGCAAGGAGGUCAGCAGUGCACGCCCUUGACCCAGGGCGAAAAUCUGCCUCCAUGCCGGAUACACGCAGGCACAAAGGAACAAAGUUUCCAAUCCAGAUUGCCUGCUACAGAUUCAUUGAAGGCCCUGAACACCAGCAGAACCGGAUGAUGCAUCUAUGGCUGGAGCAGUAUGCGUAUGCUGGGAUGCAAAAGAUGAACUCCGCAGCAGAACACCGCAUCCUGCCUGGCAACGAAAGAUCCCAGAGCGUGACUCCAUCUGACGCUGCAGCCCUGGGUGAUGCAAGAGGUGCAACAGUGGAAAAGAGGAAUUCAGCCAAGGACAAGGCCAGUAAGCAACAGGGCCAGAAAAAUACCACUGCUGCCCAGCAGCCAGAGGAGCUUCCGCCACAGCCGUUCAGCCCCCAGCCAGCACACGCGUGGAUGAGGCCCGGGCGUGUCGCAACAGAACAUGAGACACCUAGGCCAGAGACACCACCUCUGCAUCACAGAAGCUGCUGUGUGCCAACCCACCUCAUGCGCCUUUACAUUCAGCGUGCCUGGUCCAAGCUCCGAGCUGCAAGCAAGGCCCUCUUUUCCACAAUCAGAAAGAGAUGUUAUAAGCUCUCGAGGAAGGAAGGAGAGCCCAUCAAGGAAAACAGAUUCUCAGAGCCAACCAAGCUGGACACAGAUCAGUGUGGGAGUAGACGAUGGCUCAGACUACUGGCCAAAAGGAAAAGCCCACGUCCACCCCUGACGGCACUGAAGAAGGACUUGGUGGCAUCUGAAGAUAAGACUUUCAGUGGUGCCCUUGAGGCCGGAGGUGCCAAUAAGGCAUCGAGCCGGGGUGGCAGCACCCACAGCCACCAGGACGUGCUGGCUCCUGUUGGCUGUAGAGAGCCAGCCCAAGUGCUGGUACCUGGGAGUGGGCAGCUCUUGGAGACCCAAGCUCCUGCUCCAUCUCAAAAUGUUGAUCUAGCAGCUGUCCAGGUGGGUACAGCUGCAGUGAGUAGCGGAUUGCCACCUGAUGCUACCAGUGGGCAGGAGCAGAAGGACAAGGGACACACCCAGGACAAGCCAGCUCCUCCAAGAAGAGUGUCCCCAAAGAGAAAACGCUCCUCCAGUGAGCAGAGACCCUCUAAUCUGCCACAGCCUCCAAAUCCCACUGGAACUAACAUUCCAGACUCCCUCAUGCAGGAGCUCUUCUCAGCAAUUCACAAUUUGAACCAAGCCAGACAAACUGCUGGUGAGCUGCAGAAGCUGGUGCAGGCUUCCUUUUCAAAGGUGCCCGCAAACAACGUCAAGUAA